This 476-nucleotide ribosomal RNA is filed under the name uncultured bacterium. Its description in RNAcentral is "bacterial SSU rRNA". It matches the Rfam family "Bacterial small subunit ribosomal RNA", at positions 19 to 518 of the family's 1533-position model. The record is from RNAcentral.
CUGGCUCAGGAUGAACGCUGACAGAAUGCUUAACACAUGCAAGUCUACUUGAUCCUCGGGUGAAGGUGGCGGACGGGUGAGUAACGCGUAAAGAACUUGCCUUACAGACUGGGACAACAUUUGGAAACGAAUGCUAAUACCGGAUAUUAUGAUUGGGUCGCAUGAUCUGGUUAUGAAAGCUAUAUGCGCUGUGAGAGAGCUUUGCGUCCUAUUAGUUAGUUGGUGAGGUAACGGCUCACCAAGACGAUGAUGGGUAGCCGGCCUGAGAGGGUGAACGGCCACAAGGGGACUGAGACACGGCCCUUACUCCUACGGGAGGCAGCAGUGGGGAAUAUUGGACAAUGGACCAAAAGUCUGAUCCAGCCAAUUCUGUGUGCACGAUGAAGUUUUUCGGAAUGUAAAGUGCUUUCAGUUGGGAAGAAGUCAGUGACGGUACCAACAGAAGAAGCGACGGCUAAAUACGUGCCAGCCGCCGC